AUGUCACCAUUAGUUAAAAUAGUGGAUGCUGCAACUGUGACUGUUAGUACUAACCUUGUAACCCAGCUCCAAAUGCUGAUCACUACUUUUCUUCAGAUAGCGAAGAUCCAGCCUCUGGCCAUCUUCCCUGAUAAUGUACUUGGCACCUGUCUUACCUGGGGGAGGGUGAGGCCCAUAUUCUACCAGUUCUUUCAACCUGGUAUAAUCAGAUCAGAUUUAGACAUGACUUAUCAAAUACUCCCUCCAUUCACAAAUGUAAGAUGUUUUGGAUAUUUCAAUAUGGACUACAUACGGACUGAAAUGAGUGAACAAACACACUAA
RNAcentral lists this ribosomal RNA (321 nucleotides) under Triticum aestivum (bread wheat). RNAcentral describes it as "partial small subunit ribosomal RNA". Lineage: Eukaryota; Viridiplantae; Streptophyta; Magnoliopsida; Poales; Poaceae. The record is from RNAcentral.